RNA transcript from Jatropha curcas, 1840 nucleotides. RefSeq lists it as uncharacterized. The record is from RefSeq and is a predicted model, not a curated record. NCBI's taxonomy places the organism in Eukaryota, Viridiplantae, Streptophyta, Magnoliopsida, Malpighiales, Euphorbiaceae.
UUUGUUCCUACAAGUACAGCUGAACUGUCCUUCUCCAGUAAUCUUUAAUACAAUAAUUCUACUACUUAUACGCACAAUCACAUUUGGAAAUGGACCCGAAGAGUUUUAUUGGUGGGUUUAAAGAACUCAGCUUUGAAUUUCAGUCCUUACCAACUACCAGUCAGAAGUCAAAACAGCACUUUCUUGAUUACCAUCUUUUAUCUCUUACAAGUACACCCGAGCUGUUCUUCUCCAGUAAUCUUUAAGAAAAGAAUUUUACUGCUCAUACGCACAACCAAAUUGGCAAUGGAUCGGAAGAGUUUUAUUAAUGGGUUUAAAGAACUUAGGCCUUUGGUGCACUUGCUUUUGCCUCUCUCUAUCCAUUGGAUUGCUGAGGAAAUGACUGUUUCUGUUCUUGUUGAUAUUGUUACUAAUGCUUUAUGUCCUGGGGAGUCCACAUGCGAUGAGGCUAUUUAUCUCAAUGGUCUCCAACAAACGGUGGUUGGAAUUUUCAAGAUGGUGGUAUUACCACUCUUAGGCCAACUUGCUGAUGAGUAUGGGCGUAAACCACUUCUCCUCCUUACUAUAUCCACAUCCAUGAUUCCUUUUGCUUUACUUGCCUGGAACGAAAGCAGAGGAUUCGUGUAUGCCUUCUAUGUGCUUCGUACAGUUUCAUAUGUUCUAAGCCAAGGGAGUGUUUUCUGCAUUUCUGUUGCUUAUGCAGCAGAUUUUGUUAAGGAAGGCAAGAGGGCAGCAGCAUUUAGUUGGAUCACUGGUCUCUUUUCUGCUUCUCAUCUCUUGGGCAAUGUUGUAGCACGUUUUCUUCCUGAUAAUUAUAUAUUUCCAGUUUCAGUUGCUCUCUUGAUCUGUUGCCCUGUGUAUUUGCAAUUCUUUCUAGUUGAGACAAUUGAACCUACUCGAAGUAGGGACCAGGAUUCACCCUUCUUCUCUAGGAUCAUUAAGCUUUUUCACACACGAUAUGAAUCAAUGAGAGAUGCUGUAAUAAUUAGCUUUAGCAGCCAUACACUAAGAGACAUUUCUAUCAUUUCCUUCUUCUAUCAAUUGGGUAUGUCUGGCAUCAGCAGUGUCUUAUUUUACUAUCUAAAGGCAGCAUUCGGUUUUAGCAAAGACCAGUACUCAGAAAUUCUGUCAAUGGUUGGAAUCGGUGAAGUUUUCUCUCAGAUUGUGGUGCUUCCUUUUAUCAAUCCUUUGGUUGGAGAGAAAGUGAUACUAUGUCUGGGGUUACUUGCAUCUAUGGCUUAUGCACUGCUAUAUGGCUUGGCAUGGGCAUCUUGGGUGCCAUACUUGAGUGCCUCUUUUGGAGCCAUUGAUGUCCUUGUGACACCAUCUACUUAUGCUAUCAUUUCUAAAGCAUCAAGCUCAAAAAAUCAGUCGUUCAAUACAGGGAAAAGCACAAGGAUUUGUUGCUGGUGUGCAAUCCAUAGCAAGUUUCUUAUCCCCCAUUGUUAUGAGUCCAUUGACUACUUUGUUCCUGUCUAGCAAUGCCCCUUUCAACUGCAAAGGUUUCAGCAUCAUAGUUGCAUCUCUAUGCAUGAUGGUUGCUUUCUUCUAUGCUUGCCUGCUCAAACCGGAGCAAUACUCAACUCUGGAGGAAGAUACUGAAGCACUGUUAAUUUCCUGAGUCUUGGAUCAUAUGGAAGCUACUGGAAACACAGAAACAGUUAGAAGAAAAACUGAAAAUGAGCGCCAAAAUUAGUUUCAAGUUUGUUAGUUGUUGUAACUUCCUUUCUUCGCUGGCAAAAUAGAAGUUAGCAAGAGAGUUAUGAUUAGAGCUGUAUAUAAACAAUACUUGUAACUCUCUUUUUGUUGGUUAAUGACAUUUUUAUCCUAUUUUCUACAA